CUGAAACAAAUCAAAAGACAGACAGACAAACAAAGAUCCACAAAACACAUAGAUGUCCCACUCUGACAAAAAUCCACUAAACCAAGAGAAACAAAACCAAAUACGGCCACAGCCGUAACAGUUGCCAUGGCGACAUCUAAACACUCCAUCUCAGCCACACACACACACAAAGAUCUCCAGUCUUACAAAAAUGCAGACAAAGACACAGCUGGGGAGGCAGAGGAGUGGAUUCUGCUGACAGAAGAUAAGAGCAAAGCUCUGAUGGAGGAGCAGGAGGAUCUGACGGGAGCCGUCGAGAUCAAGAGCUCCUUUAUAUUCUGCUGUGGCUCCAGCUGACCACCAGAGGUCAUCAUCACUGAAGCUUUGACACAACUGUUUGAGAAGCUUCACUGCUUCAUGAGGCUUCACUUCACCACCACCAAUUCAUCAACAUGUACUUCCAACAGGAACUGAAACACAGAAUAAAUUCAUAUUUUCCUCAAAGAAAUGUAUUUUUUUUCCAAUUCUUUAUUUUUCAGAAAGAGGCAAGUAGGUGGGAGUUACAUUUUUAAAACAAAUAACAUACAAGAUCCACUCUCUUUCCUUUUUUUUUCUUAACAGGGGAGGUAAAUAUGUGGAACAUUAACGAGGGCGGGAGAGUAAAAUAAAAAAUAAAUAAAUAAAAUAAAAGAUAAAAGUAAAGGGGGUUUAACGCAGUGCACAUUAAAUAAGUUUACAACCAAUGUUAUGACCAGUAGAAGAAAAGGAAAAGUUAACAAAUUAGUUUGAACUUAUUUCAACAAAAUCCAACCUUAAAGGCUUAAUAUGCUCAACCCAUUUGGUCCACAGUUUAAUAAAAAUACAUUUCCUGAGACGAAUAGAAAAAGUGAUUGCUUCCAUAAAGUAUAUAUCAUUUACAACAUUUACCCAGUCUGAUUCCAUGGGAGGCUCAGGAAGCAGCCAACGUCUUGUUCUUGCUUU
Molecule: long non-coding RNA, 960 nt
Organism: Oryzias melastigma (Indian medaka)
Lineage: Eukaryota; Metazoa; Chordata; Actinopteri; Beloniformes; Adrianichthyidae
Exons: 3
Source: RefSeq, a predicted model, not a curated record